UGCAGUCGACGAUGAACCACUUCGGUGGGGAUUAGUGGCGAACGGGUGAGUAACACGUGGGCAAUCUGCCCUGCACUCUGGGACAAGCCCUGGAAACGGGGUCUAAUACCGGAUACUGACCCGCUUGGGCAUCCAAGCGGUUCGAAAGCUCCGGCGGUGCAGGAUGAGCCCGCGGCCUAUCAGCUUGUUGGUGAGGUAAUGGCUCACCAAGGCGACGACGGGUAGCCGGCCUGAGAGGGCGACCGGCCACACUGGGACUGAGACACGGCCCAGACUCCUACGGGAGGCAGCAGUGGGGAAUAUUGCACAAUGGGCGAAAGCCUGAUGCAGCGACGCCGCGUGAGGGAUGACGGCCUUCGGGUUGUAAACCUCUUUCAGCAGGGAAGAAGCGAAAGUGACGGUACCUGCAGAAGAAGCGCCGGCUAACUACGUGCCAGCAGCCGCGGGUAAUACGUAGGGCGCGAGCGUUGUCCGGAAUUAUUGGGCGUAAGAGCUCGUAGCGGCUUGUCACGUCGGUUGUGAAAGCCCGGGGCUUAACCCUGGUCUGCAGUCGAUCGGGCAGCUAGAGUUCGGUAGGGAGAUCGGAAUUCCUGGUGU
Molecule: ribosomal RNA, 597 nt
Filed under: Streptomyces albogriseolus
Lineage: Bacteria; Bacillati; Actinomycetota; Actinomycetes; Kitasatosporales; Streptomycetaceae
Description: bacterial SSU rRNA
Rfam family: Bacterial small subunit ribosomal RNA
Source: RNAcentral